Non-coding RNA from Phalacrocorax carbo (great cormorant), 557 nucleotides. NCBI's taxonomy places the organism in Eukaryota, Metazoa, Chordata, Aves, Suliformes, Phalacrocoracidae. The record is from RefSeq and is a predicted model, not a curated record.
GUGAUUUUCUGGUGAAGGAAAGGUGAGAGCCAGGGAAAGGGACCUUGGACACCUAAAUGCUACAAAAACGCCCUUUGGAAGUGGGAUUGAGGAGUCAGCAGCCACGAGUGCCGCGUACCCGGUUCAGCAAAAGGCGUAACUCUCCUCCUGGCUGAGCUGUUGGCGUCUGUAACCCUGUCCCACGUCGUACGUGACAAGUGCUGAGUGGUUGCACCGGUAUCGAUGGGUACGAAUUUACGCAGGACGAAGCGUUCAUGGGUGUUUUAAUUGGUCUUGGAUUCUUGAGUGCUGGUAAAGGCUGAGACAAAAUGUGACGCCCAAGUUAGAGCAGCUGCUGCAAGAAAUCGAACCAGGUCAGGAUAUGAGCAGAGAUUUAGAAAACCUGACCAGCAAGUCUGCCUGCCUACAAACUGCUGGCCCCGCGUUGGUGCCAGCCUGCGCGGUUGUGCCCGGGAAGCCGAUGCUCUCCCCCGUGCCAGGGACUGGCUGGUGACCAUGUAAACAGAGUUCCCUCCGGACCGAACCGCCAGGGACUUGGGUCUGUUGCAGCUCCAGCU